This is a long non-coding RNA of Pseudoliparis swirei, 1875 nucleotides long. RefSeq lists it as uncharacterized. Lineage: Eukaryota; Metazoa; Chordata; Actinopteri; Perciformes; Liparidae. The record is from RefSeq and is a predicted model, not a curated record. The transcript has 3 exons.
CUCUGCCCGGCGGAGGAGAGACUCCACCCUAAACCACGACUCCCUUUAAAGCGGCUGCCGGCGGUCGGCCUCGGGUCUGCGGCGCUCCGGAAGACAGCUCCGGAGCUGCUGGUGACAGUUCGGCAUCUUUUUAUUGGAAGCAACAAGAAAAUAUAGAACGCAUCGAUGCCGAGAGCGAGAGGACGAAUCGGUCUGUCAUUACCGUUUGGUGAGAUCAUGUGGUGAUGCUUCAAGAGCUGUCAUUUCACAGGAAUGACGGGAAGAGGAGGAUGAGCCGUUCUUUCUCUCCGUGACCGGCAAGAAUGACCAAAACUUCCCCGUCGCUGCUUUAGUUUAACAAACUUGCACUAAUACAGAUAAAAACACAAAAACUAAUCUAAUAUUAAAUGUCAAGCUAUUUUAAUGUUGUGUCAUUGUAGUAGAGAAUGCAGCUUUAACACAUGAAGCAUAUACUUCUAUACAACCAGAGGAGUCGCCCCUUGGUGGUCAGGAGAGAGAAUGCAGCUUUAACACAUGAAGCAUAGACUUCUAUACAACCAGAGGAGUCGCCCCCUGGUGGUCAGGAGAGAGGAUGCAGCUUUAACACAUGAAGCAUAGACAUCUAUACAACCAGAGGAGUCGCCCCCUGGUUGUCAGGAGACAUAAGUGAAGCAAUCCAAUAAGCCCUACACAUUCGACUGCAUCGUGUGCUCCUCACUUUGAGUGCCGUCCUUUCUUACUAAAUUCAAGCCGCCCCCAGCGGGCGUCGGUUCCUCUCGCUCUCAUUUGCACCCUGAGGGUCGCUUCACACUCGGCUCGCCGCUAGCAAAGCUCUAUUUGCACGUCUAAGGAUUAAGCAAAGUGGCCAAAUUUCUUUUAAAUGCUUCAGAAACAAGAGGUCAUUGAAUUCUACACGGGAGUCAAUAUGUUGGCUGCCGAAUCAAACAGUUUACAGGAUAUCCAACUUGAAGUGUUUUAAGGACUUGGAUUGUUUGAGCAAAGCAAUAACAGCAGUCCUUUAAUAUGAGUUAUGUCUUUUUGUGGGUUCCACAUACGGCCAAUUCAUCUUUAUAAAUACAAAAUGUUCAAAGAAGGAAAAAUGCCCCUAAAAUAGGAAGAUGAGGUCGGGAACAUUCUGCUCAAGGCCCCGGAAAAAAAUGCAGCCGGUAGAACAUCAUCCUUCAAGCCGCGGAGUUUCUCCUCCUCGAAGGACCCGAUGGAUCCGACUUGUGAAGCGUCUCUAACGGCUCGUCAGCCCCCCGCGGUGCGUUCAUGAGCCGCUGUGUUUACAUUUGGAAACAAAUGGAAAUGACGAGUCGAUGGUCCCGCUGGGAACCGCUCCGACGUUCAUAGCGACGGAUGUAAAGUGAUGCAAAUGACGCGUGGAUGCUAACCCCCGCCGCCGCGACAGGAAAUGGUCCCGACGUUUGAGUCGUGUGAUGAAAGAACCGAAGGGGAACGUUACCGUGGCGUGUUCCAGUUCAAUACAGACAUGUUUGGGAACUGAUGAUGCUCUCUUUCUUCUUUUCUUGAAUUCCUUUACAAAGAGAAUCAUUGGACAAAGUCGAUACUCAUUCUGUGACAAUAAAUUAACCGUCUGACUUCUUAAAAUUCUGGAAAAAAACAUUCAUAUGUGAUUUAUAAUUUUGAGUUCAUUAUUUUAAUAUCAGGCUUUAAACAAAGAACACCCUGAAAACCCUUUUAAAGACAAUCAACGUUGUUAGGCCUUGAUCCGCUACUUUGUUCCGCUACAUUGUUCCGCUACUUUGUUCCGCUACAUUGUUCCGCUACAUUGUUCCGCUACAUUGUUCCGCUACAUUGUUACGCUACAUUGUUGCGCUACAUUGUUGCGCUACAUUGUUACGCUACAUUGUUAUGCUACAUUGUUACGCUACA